GGGCCUGUAGCUUAGCCCGGUUAGAGCGCUCGACUGAUAAUCGAGAGAUCGUGGGUCCAAAUCCCACCAGGCCCA
Molecule: transfer RNA, 75 nt
Filed under: Candidatus Rehaiarchaeum fermentans
Lineage: Archaea; Nanobdellati; Candidatus Parvarchaeota
Also listed under: 1 other name
Description: tRNA-Ile
Rfam family: tRNA
About the family: Transfer RNA (tRNA) molecules are approximately 80 nucleotides in length. Their secondary structure includes four short double-helical elements and three loops (D, anti-codon, and T loops).
Source: RNAcentral